RNAcentral lists this transfer RNA (73 nucleotides) under Anaerolineae bacterium. It matches the Rfam family "tRNA". From Rfam's summary of the family: Transfer RNA (tRNA) molecules are approximately 80 nucleotides in length. Their secondary structure includes four short double-helical elements and three loops (D, anti-codon, and T loops). The record is from Rfam by way of RNAcentral. Lineage: Bacteria; Bacillati; Chloroflexota; Anaerolineae.
GGGUCCAUAGCUCAAUUGGUAGAGCAGCUGACUUUUAAUCAGCGGGUCGCAGGUUCGAUUCCUGCUGGACUCA